Molecule: ribosomal RNA, 253 nt
Filed under: uncultured bacterium
Lineage: Bacteria
Description: partial 16S ribosomal RNA
Rfam family: Bacterial small subunit ribosomal RNA
Source: RNAcentral
UACAGAGGUCUCAAGCGUUGUUCGGAUUCAUUGGGCGUAAAGGGUGCGUAGGUGGCGCGCUAAGUCAGGUGUGAAAUUUCGGAGCUUAACUCCGAACCUGCAUUUGAUACUGGCGUGCUUGAGGACUGGAGAGGAGACUGGAAUUCACGGUGUAGCAGUGAAAUGCGUAGAUAUCGUGAGGAAGACCAGUGGCGAAGGCGGGUCUCUGGACAGUUCCUGACACUGAGGCACGAAGGCCAGGGGAGCAAACGGG